GUCCGGCACGUCCGUGCUACGUUAGCUGAAGGUAAAGUGCACACUCACUGUUUCCCUGGUGCUUGUGUUCUCGAUGUUUCAGCGCAGAUACCCGCUAUCCUGAAGGGUGACGAGAGCAUCGGCGCGGUCGUGCUUCACGCCGGGGUUAACGACACCAAGCUGCGGCAGACGGAGACACUGAAGAGGGACUUCAGGAGCCUGAUCGAGACGGUGCGCCGCACAUCACCCGCGACAAUGAUCAUCGUGUCAGGACCGCUUCCCACGUACCGACGAGGACAUGAAAGGUUCAGUGGACUUUUUGCUUUAAAUGAAUGGUUAUUGUCAUGGUGUAAAGAA
Molecule: long non-coding RNA, 336 nt
Organism: Sinocyclocheilus anshuiensis
Lineage: Eukaryota; Metazoa; Chordata; Actinopteri; Cypriniformes; Cyprinidae
Exons: 2
Source: RefSeq, a predicted model, not a curated record